CAGCUUGGAGAGAUUGGGGGUGUUCCCAUGCACAAGCUGGCAUCAGUUAGGGAGAGCGCCCGAUGGAAAAUUGGUUCCUGUUUCAGAGGGAAUGAUGAGUUAAAAAUAGGGAGGUCUAGCCAAAGCCAUGCAAGGAGCCUGGCCCACCACAGUGGGGAUACGCCUUCCUUCCAAUUGGAGUGACACAAUGGAACACUGCUGUCAAUACAGCCCCCCCUUACAUCCGGAUCCUGGAACAGCCCAAACAACGUGGGAUGCGUUUCCGGUAUAAAUGCGAGGGACGCUCGGCCGGGAGCAUCCCGGGGGAGAAGAGCACAGACAGCACCAGGACGUACCCCGCCAUCGAGGUAAGGUGUGGGCGG
Molecule: non-coding RNA, 362 nt
Organism: Chiloscyllium plagiosum (whitespotted bambooshark)
Lineage: Eukaryota; Metazoa; Chordata; Chondrichthyes; Orectolobiformes; Hemiscylliidae
Source: RefSeq, a predicted model, not a curated record